Molecule: transfer RNA, 73 nt
Filed under: Canis lupus familiaris (dog)
Lineage: Eukaryota; Metazoa; Chordata; Mammalia; Carnivora; Canidae
Also listed under: 2 other names
Rfam family: tRNA
About the family: Transfer RNA (tRNA) molecules are approximately 80 nucleotides in length. Their secondary structure includes four short double-helical elements and three loops (D, anti-codon, and T loops).
Source: Rfam by way of RNAcentral
GCCCAGCUGGCUCAUUUGGUGGAGCAUGUGACUCUUGAUCUCAGGGCCAUAAGUUAGAGCCCUAUGUUGGGUG